AGUUCGGUCGGAGCCCUGGAUUAUCGGCUUCAUCUUGUCCAAGUUUGGCCUCCUCUGGGAUAGUGCAUUCCACCACGAAGUCCGCUAAUAUCUGGGCUUUGAUCUCUAGUCGAGGUCAAUAGUUGAUGUCGAACUCUGUGAGCUCGACUGCCCAUUUCGCGAUUCUUCCGAAGGCAUCUGCUUGAUGCAAAACCGCCUUGAUCAGUUGGUUGGUGAGCAGCGUUAUGGUGUGUCCUUGAAAGUAAGGUCGGAGCCUUCGAGCUACAAUCAACAAGGCAUAAGUUAGUUUCUCUAACUUAGUAUACCUGGUUUCGACAUCUCUCAAUACUCGGCUUAUGUAGU
Molecule: long non-coding RNA, 342 nt
Filed under: Elaeis guineensis (African oil palm)
Lineage: Eukaryota; Viridiplantae; Streptophyta; Magnoliopsida; Arecales; Arecaceae
Description: long non-coding RNA (EGUI_LNC073799)
Source: RNAcentral